Molecule: non-coding RNA, 327 nt
Organism: Camelus ferus (Wild Bactrian camel)
Lineage: Eukaryota; Metazoa; Chordata; Mammalia; Artiodactyla; Camelidae
Rfam family: 7SK RNA
About the family: 7SK was discovered as an abundant small nuclear RNA in the mid-70s but a possible function has only recently been suggested.
Source: Rfam
GGAUGUGAGGGGCAAUCUGGCUGCGACAUCUGUCACCCCAGUGAUUGCCAAGGUUGUUUUGGCUGAUCUGGUGGGCUGGGUAGUGUCCUCUCCUCCGUCAUGGCUCCACGUCUCUCUCUCCUGAAGCUGCACACUGGGUGGAAGAGGAUGACCUUCCCUGAACGAGGCCGACCUUUCAUUGGUCAAGGUUUCAAGAGUAGCUGCACUCUCCUGCUAGGACCUCCAAACAUGCUCUCAAAGUCUGUUUGUAGGAGAACAGGGUAGUCAAGCUGCCAAGACUCCAGAUACAUCCAAAUGGGAUCCUGCAUGUGGCAGUCAGCCUUUCUU